Non-coding RNA from Saimiri boliviensis boliviensis (Bolivian squirrel monkey), 1193 nucleotides. NCBI's taxonomy places the organism in Eukaryota, Metazoa, Chordata, Mammalia, Primates, Cebidae. The record is from RefSeq and is a predicted model, not a curated record.
CCUCCCAAAGUGCUGGGAUUACAGGCUUGAGCCACCGCACCCGGCCCUAAAGGAAGACUUUCAUUGGGCCCUGCUGGAAUUUGGUGAGUGGCUGUCAGCCACGUGCCCAGCCCUUGCUGUGCUGAAGCUCAGGCCUUUCCUGGCGCCCUGGUGUCCUGCAUUGAGCUUGUGAGCUCUUCUGCCCACAGAGCCCCUGGCAUUGACCAGCAUAGAUGGUGAGACUAAAGGAAGACUUUGAUUGGGCCGUGCUGGACCUUGUGAGCUCUUCUGCCCACAGAGCCCCUGGCAUUGAGCAGCAUAGAUGGUGAGACUAAAGGAAGACUUUCAUUGGGCCGUGCUGGACCCUGUGAGCUCUUCUGCCCACAGAGCCCCUGGCAUUGACAAGCACAGAUGGUGAGACUAAAGGAAGACUUUCAUUGGGCCGUGCUGGACCCUGUGAGCUCUUCUGCCCACAGAGCCCCUGGCAUUGAGCAGCAUAGAUGGUGAGACUAAAGGAAGACUUUGAUUGGGCCGUGCUGGACCUUGUGAGCUCUUCUGCCCACAGAGCCCCUGGCAUUGAGCAGCAUAGAUGGUGAGACUAAAGGAAGACUUUCAUUGGGCCGUGCUGGACCCUGUGAGCUCUUCUGCCCACAGAGCCCCUGGCAUUGACAAGCACAGAUGGUGAGACUAAAGGAAGACUUUCAUUGGGCCGUGCUGGACCCUGUGAGCUCUUCUGCCCACAGAGCCCCUGGCAUUGACAAGCACAGAUGGUGAGACUAAAGGAAGACUUUGAUUGGGCCGUGCUGGACCUUGUGAGCUCUUCUGCCCACAGAGCCCCUGGCAUUGAGCAGCAUAGAUGGUGAGACUAAAGGAAGACUUUCAUUGGGCCGUGCUGGACCCUGUGAGCUCUUCUGCCCACAGAGCCCCUGGCAUUGACAAGCACAGAUGGUGAGACUAAAGGAAGACUUUCAUUGGGCCUUGCUGGACCUUGGUGAGUGGCGGUCAGCCACUUGCCCAGCCCUUGCUAUGCUGAAGCUCAGGCCUUUCCUGGCGCCCAGGUGUCCUGCACUGAGCUUGUGAGCUCUUCUGCCCACAGAGCCCCUGGCAUUGACCAGCAUAGGUGGUGACACUAAAGAAAGACUUUCAUUGGGCCGUGCUGGAAUUUGUGACUUCUUCUGCCCACAGUGCCCCUGGCAUUGAGCAGCAUAGGUGAG